CCUAACACAUGCAAGUCGAACGGUAACAGGAAGAAGCUUGCUUCUUUGCUGACGAGUGGCGGACGGGUGAGUAAUGUCUGGGAAACUGCCUGAUGGAGGGGGAUAACUACUGGAAACGGUAGCUAAUACCGCAUAACGUCGCAAGACCAAAGAGGGGGACCUUCGGGCCUCUUGCCAUCGGAUGUGCCCAGAUGGGAUUAGCUAGUAGGUGGGGUAACGGCUCACCUAGGCGACGAUCCCUAGCUGGUCUGAGAGGAUGACCAGCCACACUGGAACUGAGACACGGUCCAGACUCCUACGGGAGGCAGCAGUGGGGAAUAUUGCACAAUGGGCGCAAGCCUGAUGCAGCCAUGCCGCGUGUAUGAAGAAGGCCUUCGGGUUGUAAAGUACUUUCAGCGGGGAGGAAGGGAGUAAAGUUAAUACCUUUGCUCAUUGACGUUACCCGCAGAAGAAGCACCGGCUAACUCCGUGCCAGCAGUCGCGGUAAUACGGAGGGUGCAAGCGUUAAUCGGAAUUACUGGGCGUAAAG
RNAcentral lists this ribosomal RNA (529 nucleotides) under uncultured bacterium. RNAcentral describes it as "bacterial SSU rRNA". It matches the Rfam family "Bacterial small subunit ribosomal RNA", at positions 47 to 565 of the family's 1533-position model. The record is from RNAcentral.